Molecule: unclassified non-coding RNA, 335 nt
Filed under: soil metagenome
Description: partial contains 5.8S ribosomal RNA, internal transcribed spacer 2, and large subunit ribosomal RNA
Rfam family: 5.8S ribosomal RNA (bases 1-120)
Source: RNAcentral
GAUGAAGAACGCAGCGAAAUGCGAUAAGUAAUGUGAAUUGCGGAAUUCAGUGAAUCAUCGAAUCUUUGAACGCACAUUGCGCCCAUUAGCAUUCUAGUGGGCAUGCCUGUUCGAGCGUCAUUUCAACCCUUAAGCCCUGUUGCUUAGCGUUGGGAGCCUACAGUACUGUAGCUCCCCAAAGUUAGUGGCGGAGUCGGUUUCACACUCUAGACGUAGUAAUUUUUUCUCGUCUGUAGUUGAGCCGGUCCCCUGCCGUAAAACACCCAAUUUAUCAAGGUUGACCUCGGAUCAGGUAGGAAUACCCGCUGAACUUAAGCAUAUCAAUAAGCGGAGGA